UACGAGGGGGGCGAGCGUUGUUCGGAAUUAUUGGGCGUAAAGGGUGCGUAGGCGGUUUGGUAAGUCUGAUGUGAAAUCUAUGGGCUCAACUCAUAGUCUGCAUCGGAAACUGCCGGGCUUGAGUAUGGGAGGGGUGAGUGGAAUUCCUGGUGUAGCGGUGAAAUGCGUAGAUAUCAGGAGGAACACCUGUGGCGAAAGCGGCUCACUGGACCAUAACUGACGCUGAUGCACGAAAGCUAGGGGAGCAAACAGG
This 253-nucleotide ribosomal RNA is filed under the name uncultured bacterium. RNAcentral describes it as "partial 16S ribosomal RNA". It matches the Rfam family "Bacterial small subunit ribosomal RNA", at positions 524 to 776 of the family's 1533-position model. The record is from RNAcentral.